RNAcentral lists this ribosomal RNA (492 nucleotides) under uncultured bacterium. RNAcentral describes it as "partial 16S ribosomal RNA". It matches the Rfam family "Bacterial small subunit ribosomal RNA", at positions 29 to 507 of the family's 1533-position model. The record is from RNAcentral.
AGUGAACGCUGGCGGUAGGCCUAACACAUGCAAGUCGAACGGCAGCACAGUAAGAGCUUGCUCUUACGGGUGGCGAGUGGCGGACGGGUGAGGAAUACAUCGGAAUCUACUUUUUCGUGGGGGAUAACGUAGGGAAACUUACGCUAAUACCGCAUACGACCUACGGGUGAAAGCAGGGGAUCUUCGGACCUUGCGCGAUUGAAUGAGCCGAUGUCGGAUUAGCUAGUUGGCGGGGUAAAGGCCCACCAAGGCGACGAUCCGUAGCUGGUCUGAGAGGAGGAUCAGCCACACUGGAACGGAGACAGGGUCCAGACUCCUACGGGAGGGAGCAGUGGGGAAUAUUGGACAAUGGGCGCAAGCCUGAUCCAGCCAUACCGCGUGGGUGAAGAAGGCCUUCGGGUUGUAAAGCCCUUUUGUUGGGAAAGAAAAGCAGCAGGUUAAUACCCCGCUGUUCUGACGGUACCCAAAGAAUAAGCACCGGCUAACUUCGUG